AUGAAGCCUUUCGGGGUGGAUUAGUGGCGAACGGGUGAGUAACACGUGGGCAAUCUGCCCUGCACUCUGGGACAAGCCCUGGAAACGGGGUCUAAUACCGGAUAAUACCUUCCCUCGCAUGGGGGUGGGUUCAAAGCUCCGGCGGUGCAGGAUGAGCCCGCGGCCUAUCAGCUUGUUGGUGAGGUAGUGGCUCACCAAGGCGACGACGGGUAGCCGGCCUGAGAGGGCGACCGGCCACACUGGGACUGAGACACGGCCCAGACUCCUACGGGAGGCAGCAGUGGGGAAUAUUGCACAAUGGGCGAAAGCCUGAUGCAGCGACGCCGCGUGAGGGAUGACGGCCUUCGGGUUGUAAACCUCUUUCAGCAGGGAAGAAGCGAAAGUGACGGUACCUGCAGAAGAAGCGCCGGCUAACUACGUGCCAGCAGCCGCGGUAAUACGUAGGGCGCAAGCGUUGUCCGGAAUUAUUGGGCGUAAAGAGCUCGUAGGCGGUCUGUCGCGUCGGAUGUGAAAGCCCGGGGCUUAACCCCGGGUCUGCAUUCGAUACGGGCAGACUAGAGUGUGGUAGGGGAGAUCGGAAUUCCUGGUGUAGCGGUGAAAUGCGCAGAUAUCAGGAGGAACACCGGUGGCGAAGGCGGAUCUCUGGGCCAUUACUGACGCUGAGGAGCGAAAGCGUGGGGAGCGAACAGGAUUAGAUACCCUGGUAGUCCACGCCGUAAACGGUGGGAACUAGGUGUUGGCGACAUUCCA
Molecule: ribosomal RNA, 750 nt
Filed under: Streptomyces sp.
Lineage: Bacteria; Bacillati; Actinomycetota; Actinomycetes; Kitasatosporales; Streptomycetaceae
Description: bacterial SSU rRNA
Rfam family: Bacterial small subunit ribosomal RNA
Source: RNAcentral